UUCCUCUUCCUUCUCUAAACCUUUACCACCACCACUCUCUAUCUCUCCGGCACUACUAUUGCAGUAACCAGCACAAUCACGAUCUAGUUUUCUGUGUUUGUUUGUUUUCUUACCAACCCAUCUUCUCUUCCUUCAAAAUCCUAACAAAUCUUAUAUGAAGUGGAAUCGAUAGUUGGUCGACGAAGAACAUGAAUCUAUUUUUUUGCAAGAGAUGAUUUGGAGAAGCGAUGUGGUUGUUUGAUGAUUUAUAACAUUCCCUCUCUUCGAUUUCAGAUUCUUUUAGUUGUAACAGAUCUAAAAUUAAGCUUUUGAAUUUCAGACUUACAAUAUUUCAGAAUGAAAUUUGCCAAUUUGGUUAAUUUGGUGCCGUUUUCUUUUUCUGGGUUAUCGAAUUUGCUAAACUUUGAGGCGUUGAUUUGAGAGGAUUGUUGAAUUUGAUGUUUCGCUAUUGAUGAGAGACUGAAAUGAUUGUUUGGUGGAAUUAAAUGAUAAGAGGAGUAAUGGAGUCUAGGUUCUGUUGUGCUGAAGAAUUGGUGAUGCACCGAGAAGACAAGGAAAGGAUUAAUGGUGCCCUUAUCUUUAGAGUGUCUGUACAUAUAAUCUCUGCCAUCAAUCUCUGUGGCAACUACACGUGUAUAGUGUAGUUUAGUGUUUUUUUUAUAAAUGCUAUGUUCAGACAUCUUAAUAACAAUUACAUAGAUAUUCAUACUUAAUGAAAUAUCUUUUUCUUCACCUGUGAUUAUGGUACCAAGAGCAGGUUAAGCUUUUAAGCUUUUUUGAUCCUUCAAUGGUGAUUUUUUCAUCUUCAACAAAAUUCUGUGUUCUUUCUCUUGCAACACUGAUUCACAGAUACUCUCUUGGGUGAAGAUUAUUUUUCUUUGGUAUUCUUUGUUUCUUCACUUCCUGCAAAUUCUCUUUUUCAGAUCUAUUUUUCUUUUUCUUUCAAAUUUGAUUCCUCUAUCAAGAUUUCCUCAAAUUCUUGAUCAAAUUUGUUCAUCAUACUAGCUUCUAUCUUCAUUCACUUUCGUUGUUUGUUCAAAUGCGUUUUGGUUAGAGUUUGAAUCCAUGAAGUUUUUGGCAAUCUUAAAGCCGAGAAGAACAAUGGACUUGGUUCUGUUGUGGUCAGUGAGGAUUUGGGGAUUUCUUGUGGUUUCCGUGAAGAACAAUAAAUCAUGAUGUUGUGAGAUGAAUGAAGAAGAAUAAUGAAAUGGUUCUUGUCAUGGGUAUGUGAAUGGAUUUGAGCAGAGUUCGUUUGAAGCAAACACAGAGCUGCUGGUGAAGAUUUUUUAGCUGCCCUGUGAUUCAAUCUUUUCGUGAUUUCAUUUGAGUAGGAUUUGACAAAAUUGGGGUUUGGUUUAGUCUGAAUCAGGACCGAAAGUGGUUUCAUUGUAACCGCUGGAUCGUAAUUCACUUCAGUGGUAUACUUGUAAACUCAUAAUUUAACAGUAUUUUUCUUUUAUAAAAUUGAUUGAUUAAA
This is a long non-coding RNA of Papaver somniferum (opium poppy), 1477 nucleotides long. RefSeq lists it as uncharacterized. The transcript is spliced from 2 exons. The record is from RefSeq and is a predicted model, not a curated record. NCBI's taxonomy places the organism in Eukaryota, Viridiplantae, Streptophyta, Magnoliopsida, Ranunculales, Papaveraceae.